This 423-nucleotide ribosomal RNA is filed under the name uncultured bacterium. Its description in RNAcentral is "bacterial SSU rRNA". It matches the Rfam family "Bacterial small subunit ribosomal RNA", at positions 358 to 773 of the family's 1533-position model. The record is from RNAcentral.
GGAAUAUUGGACAAUGGGCGAAAGCCUGAUCCAGCAACGCCGCGUGGAGGAUGAAGGCCUUCGGGUUGUAAACUCCUGUCAGGUGGGACGAACAGGCUUCGGCGAAUACCCGGAGCCUCUGACGGUACCACCAGAGGCAGCCCCGGCUAACUCCGUGCCAGCAGCCGCGGUAAUACGGAGGGGGCAAGCGUUAUUCGGAAUUAGUGGGCGUAAAUGGCGCGUAGGCGGUCUGGUAAGUCAGGGGUGAAAUCCCUCGGCUCAACCGAGGAAUUGCCCUUGAAACUGCCAGACUCGAGGCCGGGAGAGGGUGGUGGAAUUCCAAGUGUAGCGGUGAAAUGCGUAGAUAUUUGGAGGAACACCAGUGGCGAAGGCGGCCACCUGGACCGGUUCUGACGCUGAGGCGCGAAAGCGUGGGGAGCAAAC